AGCGAACGCUGGCGGCAGGCCUAACACAUGCAAGUCGAGCGCCCCGCAAGGGGAGCGGCAGACGGGUGAGUAACACGUGGGAACGUACCCUUCGGUUCGGAAUAGCCCGGGAAACUCGGAGUAAUACCGAAUACGGUCCGUAAGGAGAAAGAUUUAUCGCCGAAGGAUCGGCCCGCGUCUGAUUAGGCUUGUUGGUGAGGUAACGGCUCACCAAGGCUACGAUCAGUAGCUGGUCUGAGAGGAUGAUCAGCCACACUGGGACUGAGACACGGCCCAGACUCCUACGGGAGGCAGCAGUGGGGAAUAUUGGACAAGUGGGCGAAAGCCUGAUCCAGCCAUGCCGCGUGAGUGAUGAA
Molecule: ribosomal RNA, 356 nt
Filed under: uncultured bacterium
Lineage: Bacteria
Description: bacterial SSU rRNA
Rfam family: Bacterial small subunit ribosomal RNA
Source: RNAcentral